CAAAGAUAGUGUUAGGGCUGAGAAAAGUGGGUAUCUUGUAAAGUAAGGCAACACAGAAACAGAGAGAGGUAAUGCUUAAUUUUUAUCACCUCUAUUUUCGAAGGGUUGGGCAAGUAGACUGAGGAGAGCUUGCUCCAUCUUAAGAUCCUGCGUUUAUGUUCAUAACACUGUCCAUACUCCAUUUUUGUUCAUACCCUUCAGCUUUUUCUUCAUCAUCAGUGGAGACUCCAACGUGUUUCCCUGAAUCUCCAUUAUCACAUGAAGAUCCUCUUGAUUCUUGUCCAUUUUUCUCAUCCUUGUUAACACCAUUGUCAUUGGUAAAGAAAGGGUCAAAAGGAGGGAUGAUUUCCUCAUUCACAUUAGUUAGCUUCCAAUAACCGGCGAAAUUCCAAACGAUCUUUUGUAUUUAAGGAUUCAGAUAUUUAUGCUUCACAGAAAUCUUUAUUUCUCCUCUUCAUAAUUUAGUACAUUAUGGGUUUGAAAUACUAAACACAAUGAAUUAGUCAAAAUAUACUAUCUCCUUUCGACAGAGAAAUAUUUUUUAAAAAAAAUUCAAAAAAAUAUAUCUUUUAUGUUUUAUAUAAAUUUUAUUGAAAAAUGAUAAUCACAGAAAAUGAUAUAUUUAUAAUUCAAAUGUAAUACUUUUAGUGUGUAAACAAAUGAAAACUUUAUUUUUUUGUAGAAUGAAAGAUAUAUUAAACAAAUAUAAAAAUUAUAAUUAGUUGAGGUCAAGCAAAUUAAAAUAAUAAAGUCAGAAUUAUGGAGAACUUAACUAGUAAAAAAGAACAAAAAAAGUUUUCACCAAGUUCCAUGCUGCAGUAGCAAAUACAGCAUAUUCCUUACCGAUGAGUUAAUAUUUUUUUGUCGGUAUGCAUGCUGGGACUACUUUGUGAUAAAGUGGUGAAACAAUUUUUGGUGGGUUUUUUGAUGGAGAUGUUUGCUAGUAUUAAAUUUCGAAGGGUGAUGCAGAUGAAAAUGCAGAUCAUAUGAGUAUCUGAAAUGAAUAUUAAAUAUAUUAUGCAUGCAGAAUAAACAUAUAUAUAGUUAUUUUUGUAAAAGAUUAAAAAUAGAUAUAGUUUAUCAAAAUAACUUACUGUAUUAUUAUAUUUGACUGAAUAUCAUUAUUCAAAGAAAAAAUAUUUGACUGAAUAUUUAAUAUAAAAUUAUGUAAAUAUUAAACAUAAUUGAUUGAAAACACUUAUUAAAAUGCACCUUUUUAUUUUGGAUGUGAAGAUAACUUGAAUAAUAUAAAAACUAAUUAAACACAAAAUAAAAAUAUUGACAUGUACUAAAAUAUAUAUGUAAGAACAAAUAAAAAUUAUGUUCAAUAUUUCAUGAUCUAAAAAUAUUAAAUAAUUGUAAAGUAUCUACUUAAAUUUAUAAUAAAUAUAUGAAUUAUCAAUAACAUGCAUAAAUCCAUUAACUGAUUUAUUUAAGAGUAUUAUGAUAUAAAUUUUAAUUUUUUUACACAAUUAUUAAUUAUUUUAUUUAUGUCAAUAAUCAGCAACAAUAAAAUUAAAAUAAACUAUGAAAAAUAUGUUUGUCUAUUUUUCAAAUAUUAAAUAUAAAUUGAUUUUUUAGUUUGUAAUACCAUAGAAGUUAUGGGUCUAGAUCACCAUGUACUUAAAAAGGAAAAAUUAUUCCUUAAAAUAUGCGAAACAAUUAAAAUCUAUGAUUUUUAGAACUUUUCCAAUUGUUACUCUGAAAUUUAUUCUCAAAAUGAAUUUGACAUUUUCUCCAAUUACUCCCAUUAUCAUUUCAAAAUCCAUUCCAAAUAUAAAUUACUAGUACUUAUUAUUAAUUAUAAUAAUGCUUUGUUUUAAAUUUAUAAAUUUUAUCCAAUUAUAAUUUUAUUUUACUAAACUUUUAUUAUAUACAUUAAUUUAGUUUAUAAUAUAAUAAACAAUAAUUUAUAUGAACUUAUAAUUGUAUUAGUGAAAGUAUUAAUAAUUUCAUUAAAAUAUAAACUGCACUCCUUCGUAUAGUGAAACAAAUAUUUAAUUUUUAAAUAUAAAAAGUUAUAUUAAAAUUAAAGGAACAAUUUGUAAUAAAAAAUUUUAAUAAUAAAAAUGAGGUUGUUAAGUGUUCCCUCAAAUUUGAAUAGAUUUGAGGAGUCCAUCCCUACUCUAUUUCUAAACUGCACUCCUUCGUAUAGUGAGGAGUCCAUCCCUACUCUUUUUUUUUUUUUUUUUUCUUUUCAUUUCUCCAAGUUUGCAUCCAUUUGUUUCUCACAGAUAAUAAGCUCUGAUCUGCUCAACCAUUUGAAGCAAAUACACGGGAGCUCUUACGAAGAAUUUAUGAAAAGCAAGUUGAUUCCAAUACAUGGAGACAUUGGCGAAGACAUUCUUGUGAUGAGAUUGAUGUCGUUAUAAGCUGUGCAGGUCGCACAACAUUUGUCGACAGAUAUGACCUUGCUUUAAAUGUCAACGCUCUUGGACCUGGUCGGCUCUUGAGCUUUGCCAAGAACUGCAAGAAACUGAAACUUUUUCUCCAUUUCUCAACUGCUUAUGUGACUGGUAAGAAAGAGGGAUCAAUACUAGAGACUCCUCUCUGCCUUGGAGAAAACAUAACUUCUGACCUAAGCAUCGAAAAUGAGCUGAAACUAGCUUCAGAAGCUGUAAGAAAGCUACAAGGUAGUAGAGAAAUCAAGAAGUUGAAAGAACUUGGUAUGCAAAGAGCUUAACACUAUGGCUGGGAAAACACUUACACGUUCACAAAAGCAUUGGGUGAGAGUUUAAUCCAAACUAUGCGAGAAGAUGUGCCUGUAGUAAGGCCUAGUAUUAUAGAAAGCUCUUACAAGGAGCCUUUCCCCGGCUGGAUCCAAGGAAUAAGCAAUCAUGCCUCGCCGUCGAUUAAGCACAUACGCCGAUUAGAAGGGGGGUAGGAGAGCUCGCGACCAACCGACAUCGAUGCCGGCGCGGAUGAGCCUCCACCCUAAACGAGAUCUGAAGACGAGGGAAUUUGUUUGAGAGAAGAGCGUGGGACGCAUGCCACUCAAAGGCUUGCUUUGUUUUAUAUAUAUAUAUAUUAUAUUUUUCUAAUACUAUUUUAAAAGAUAAUAUUUUUAACACAAUAAUUUGAGACUCCAAAUUUUCGGACACUGUACAUGUUUAGAGAUUCAACUUAAGCUUACCAGUAGUCAAUGAUACUGAUUCUAGUCGA
Molecule: long non-coding RNA, 3162 nt
Organism: Brassica napus (rape)
Lineage: Eukaryota; Viridiplantae; Streptophyta; Magnoliopsida; Brassicales; Brassicaceae
Exons: 5
Source: RefSeq, a predicted model, not a curated record